This 2132-nucleotide ribosomal RNA is filed under the name Salmonella enterica subsp. enterica serovar Enteritidis. RNAcentral describes it as "partial 23S ribosomal RNA". It matches the Rfam family "Bacterial large subunit ribosomal RNA", at positions 689 to 2802 of the family's 2925-position model. The record is from RNAcentral. Lineage: Bacteria; Pseudomonadati; Pseudomonadota; Gammaproteobacteria; Enterobacterales; Enterobacteriaceae.
UGGGCGUUAAGUUGCAGGGUAUAGACCCGAAACCCGGUGAUCUAGCCAUGGGCAGGUUGAAGGGUGGGUAACACUAACUGGAGGACCGAACCGACUAAUGUUGAAAAAUUAGCGGAUGACCUGUGGCUGGGGGUGAAAGGCCAAUCAAACCGGGAGAUAGCUGGUUCUCCCCGAAAGCUAUUUAGGUAGCGCCUCGUGAAUUCAUCUCCGGGGGUAGAGCACUGUUUCGGCUAGGGGGCCAUCCCGGCUUACCAACCCGAUGCAAACUGCGAAUACCGGAGAAUGUUAUCACGGGAGACACACGGCGGGUGCUAACGUCCGUCGUGAAGAGGGAAACAACCCAGACCGCCAGCUAAGGUCCCAAAGUCAUGGUUAAGUGGGAAACGAUGUGGGAAGGCCCAGACAGCCAGGAUGUUGGCUUAGAAGCAGCCAUCAUUUAAAGAAAGCGUAAUAGCUCACUGGUCGAGUCGGCCUGCGCGGAAGAUGUAACGGGGCUAAACCAUGCACCGAAGCUGCGGCAGCGACACUGUGUGUUGUUGGGUAGGGGAGCGUUCUGUAAGCCUGUGAAGGUGUGUCGUGAGGCAUGCUGGAGGUAUCAGAAGUGCGAAUGCUGACAUAAGUAACGAUAAAGCGGGUGAAAAGCCCGCUCGCCGGAAGACCAAGGGUUCCUGUCCAACGUUAAUCGGGGCAGGGUGAGUCGACCCCUAAGGCGAGGCCGAAAGGCGUAGUCGAUGGGAAACGGGUUAAUAUUCCCGUACUUGGUGUUACUGCGAAGGGGGGACGGAGAAGGCUAUGUUGGCCGGGCGACGGUUGUCCCGGUUUAAGUGUGUAGGUGUGUGUUCCAGGUAAAUCCGGUUCACUUUAACACUGAGGCGUGACGACGAGGCACUACGGUGCUGAAGCAACAAAUGCCCUGCUUCCAGGAAAAGCCUCUAAGCAUCAGGUAACAUCAAAUCGUACCCCAAACCGACACAGGUGGUCAGGUAGAGAAUACCAAGGCGCUUGAGAGAACUCGGGUGAAGGAACUAGGCAAAAUGGUGCCGUAACUUCGGGAGAAGGCACGCUGACACGUAGGUGAAGUGAUUUACUCAUGGAGCUGAAGUCAGUCGAAGAUACCAGCUGGCUGCAACUGUUUAUUAAAAACACAGCACUGUGCAAACACGAAAGUGGACGUAUACGGUGUGACGCCUGCCCGGUGCCGGAAGGUUAAUUGAUGGGGUCAGCGCAAGCGAAGCUCCUGAUCGAAGCCCCGGUAAACGGCGGCCGUAACUAUAACGGUCCUAAGGUAGCGAAAUUCCUUGUCGGGUAAGUUCCGACCUGCACGAAUGGCGUAAUGAUGGCCAGGCUGUCUCCACCCGAGACUCAGUGAAAUUGAACUCGCUGUGAAGAUGCAGUGUACCCGCGGCAAGACGGAAAGACCCCGUGAACCUUUACUAUAGCUUGACACUGAACAUUGAGCCUUGAUGUGUAGGAUAGGUGGGAGGCUUUGAAGUGUGGACGCCAGUCUGCAUGGAGCCGACCUUGAAAUACCACCCUUUAAUGUUUGAUGUUCUAACGUGGACCCGUUACCCGGGUUGCGGACAGUGUCUGGUGGGUAGUUUGACUGGGGCGGUCUCCUCCUAAAGAGUAACGGAGGAGCACGAAGGUUGGCUAAUCCUGGUCGGACAUCAGGAGGUUAGUGCAAUGGCAUAAGCCAGCUUGACUGCGAGCGUGACGGCGCGAGCAGGUGCGAAAGCAGGUCAUAGUGAUCCGGUGGUUCUGAAUGGAAGGGCCAUCGCUCAACGGAUAAAAGGUACUCCGGGGAUAACAGGCUGAUACCGCCCAAGAGUUCAUAUCGACGGCGGUGUUUGGCACCUCGAUGUCGGCUCAUCACAUCCUGGGGCUGAAGUAGGUCCCAAGGGUAUGGCUGUUCGCCAUUUAAAGUGGUACGCGAGCUGGGUUUAGAACGUCGUGAGACAGUUCGGUCCCUAUCUGCCGUGGGCGCUGGAGAACUGAGGGGGGCUGCUCCUAGUACGAGAGGACCGGAGUGGACGCAUCACUGGUGUUCGGGUUGUCAUGCCAAUGGCACUGCCCGGUAGCUAAAUGCGGAAGAGAUAAGUGCUGAAAGCAUCUAAGCACGAAACUUGCCCCGA